Molecule: transfer RNA, 75 nt
Filed under: Saprospiraceae bacterium
Lineage: Bacteria; Pseudomonadati; Bacteroidota; Saprospiria; Saprospirales; Saprospiraceae
Description: tRNA-Val
Rfam family: tRNA
About the family: Transfer RNA (tRNA) molecules are approximately 80 nucleotides in length.
Source: RNAcentral
GAGAGUGUAGCUCAGUUGGUUUAGAGCAUUACCUUGACAGGGUAGGGGUCGGGGGUUCGAAUCCCUCCACUCUCA